ACGCUGAAGCUUGGUGCUUGCACCGAGCGGAUGAGUUGCGAACGGGUGAGUAACGCGUAGGUAACCUGCCUCUUAGCGGGGGAUAACUAUUGGAAACGAUAGCUAAUACCGCAUAAAAGUCGACAUUGCCUGAUGUUGACUUGAAAGGUGCAAUUGCAUCACUAAGAGAUGGACCUGCGUUGUAUUAGCUAGUUGGUGAGGUAACGGCUCACCAAGGCGACGAUACAUAGCCGACCUGAGAGGGUGAUCGGCCACACUGGGACUGAGACACGGCCCAGACUCCUACGGGAGGCGGCAGUAGGGAAUCUUCGGCAAUGGACGGAAGUCUGACCGAGCAACGCCGCGUGAGUGAAGAAGGUUUUCGGAUCGUAAAGCUCUGUUGUAAGAGAAGAACGAGUGUGAGAGUGGAAAGUUCACACUGUGACGGUAUCUUACCAGAAAGGGACGGCUAACUACGUGCCAGCAGCCGCGGUAAUGCGUAGGUCCCGAGCGUUGUCCGGAUUUAUUGGGCGCAAAGCGAGCGCAGGCGGUUAGAUAAGUCUGAAGUUAAAGGCUGUGGCUUAACCAUAGUACGCUUUGGAAACUGUUUAACUUGAGUGCAAGAGGGGAGAGUGGAAU
RNAcentral lists this ribosomal RNA (618 nucleotides) under uncultured Bacilli bacterium. RNAcentral's name for it is "bacterial SSU rRNA". It matches the Rfam family "Bacterial small subunit ribosomal RNA", at positions 66 to 667 of the family's 1533-position model. Lineage: Bacteria; Bacillati; Bacillota; Bacilli. The record is from RNAcentral.